CUGGUCCCUCUUGCAGAGACACGCACGGAGGUCUCAUGUCACUUGACUCUGAAUGUGAAAUAAGACACAAUUUUCCUUUUUCUGUUUCAGUUAUCUCAGGGAUCUCCAGAACCAAUUGAGCCCAGCUUUUUCACAGCAGAUUACCAUUUAUUGCAUCAUUCGUCAAGUGAAAACAUCCUGUCCCCAAAUAACUCAACAGGUCUACCCCCCAGCUUUGAUCUGGAGGAGGGCAUCACGUAUGCACAGAUGCAGACUGUGAUUGAAGAAGUCCUAGAGGAAAGUGGGUAUUACAAUUUGAUUUCUAACAGGUAUCACUCCUAUCCCUGGGGCAACA
This is a non-coding RNA of Vicugna pacos (alpaca), 334 nucleotides long. Lineage: Eukaryota; Metazoa; Chordata; Mammalia; Artiodactyla; Camelidae. The record is from RefSeq and is a predicted model, not a curated record.